GGGCCCGCACAAGCGGUGGAGCAUGGUGGUUUAAUUCGAUGCAACGCGAAAAACCUUACCUACCCUUGACAUCAUCAGAACUUGUUAGAGAUAACUCGGUGCCUUCGGGAACUGAUUGACAGGUGCUGCAUGGCUGUCGUCAGCUCGUGUCGUGAGAUGUUGGGUUAAGUCCCGUAACGAGCGCAACCCUUAUCCUUAGUUGCCAGCACGUAAUGGUGGGGACUCUAAGGAGACUGCCGGUGCUAAGCCGGAGGAAGGCGGGGACGACGUCAAGUCAUCAUGGCCCUUACGGGUAGGGCUACACACGUGCUACAAUGGCCGGUACAGAGGGUUGCCAAGCCGCGAGGUGGAGCUAAUCUCAGAAAGCCGGUCAUAGUCCGGAUUGCAGUCUGCAACUCGACUGCAUGAAGCUGGAAUCGCUAGUAA
This 426-nucleotide ribosomal RNA is filed under the name uncultured bacterium. Its description in RNAcentral is "bacterial SSU rRNA". It matches the Rfam family "Bacterial small subunit ribosomal RNA", at positions 917 to 1341 of the family's 1533-position model. The record is from RNAcentral.